UCGGGAAUUUUGGGCAAUGGGCGAAAGCCUGACCCAGCAACGCCGCGUGAAGGAUGAAGUAUUUCGGUAUGUAAACUUCGAAAGAAUAGGAAGAAUAAAUGACGGUACUAUUUAUAAGGUCCGGCUAACUACGUGCCAGCAGCCGCGGUAAUACGUAGGGACCAAGCGUUGUUCGGAUUUACCGGGCGUAAAGGGCGCGUAGGCGGCAAUUCAAGUCAUCUGUGAAAUCUCCGGGCUUAACUCGGAACGGUCAGAUGAUACUGCUUUGCUAGAGUGCAGAAGGGGCAAUCGGAAUUCUUGGUGUAGCGGUGAAAUGCGUAGAUAUCAAGAGGAACACCUGAGGUGAAGACGGGUUGCUGGGCUGACACUGGCGCUGAGGCGCGAAAGCCAGGGGAGCAAACGGGAUUAGAUACCCCCGUAGUCCCUGAGCGGGCUGGCAAGGCGCAU
RNAcentral lists this ribosomal RNA (447 nucleotides) under uncultured bacterium. Its description in RNAcentral is "bacterial SSU rRNA". It matches the Rfam family "Bacterial small subunit ribosomal RNA", at positions 355 to 825 of the family's 1533-position model. The record is from RNAcentral.